CCUACGGGAGGCAGCAGUAGGGAAUCUUCGGCAAUGGGGGGAACCCUGACCGAGCAACGCCGCGUGAACGAAGAAGUAUUUCGGUAUGUAAAGUUCUUUUAUUGGAGAAGAAAGAGAAAUUUGACGGUAACCAAUGAAUAAGCUCCGGCUAACUACGUGCCAGCAGCCGCGGUAAUACGUAGGGAGCGAGCGUUAUCCGGAUUUAUUGGGUUUAAAGGGUGCGUAGGCGGAUUUUUAAGUCAGCGGUAAAAUGUCCGGGCUCAACCCGGGCCGGCCGUUGAAACUGGGGAUCUUGAGUGGGCGAGAAGUAUGCGGAAUGCGUGGUGUAGCGGUGAAAUGCAUAGAUAUCACGCAGAACUCCGAUUGCGAAGGCAGCAUACCGGCGCCCGACUGACGCUGAGGCACGAAAGCGUGGGGAUCGAACAGGAUUAGAUACCCGAGUAGUC
Molecule: ribosomal RNA, 446 nt
Filed under: uncultured bacterium
Lineage: Bacteria
Description: partial 16S ribosomal RNA
Rfam family: Bacterial small subunit ribosomal RNA
Source: RNAcentral